AUGGCGGAUUUUGCGAUGCAGUGCCGGCGGCGACAGGUGUGGCGACGCAGCACGCGGUGCCCAUGGCGGAGGCGCCGGGACACCGCCGGCGAGCUCUCCAUUGCAGCUCCGGCGAGAUGCAUCGCAGCUCUGAGACCUCCGUUGAGUGCUCCAUUGCAGCGCCAGGAGCGGUGGCGAGCUCUCCAUUGCAGCGGUGGGAGGGAGCGCCGACGAGCGCUCCAUUGCAGCUCCGGCGAGAUGCAUCUCAGCCCCGAGACAUCUUCAAAGCAACAUUGCCGGAGUUGCAAUGUCCCUGUCGGCCCACUCCCCGUGGUCACCGUCGCAGCGCUACUCCCACCAUUGCAGCUCAGGCAGCCACGCCGUGCUCAAAUCGCAGCUCGACGGCCAUGCGCAGAUGCUCCCCAUCGCAGCAGCAUCAUCUACGACGGCCAUGGCGGGCGGUGGUCGCGUGUCGAAGCUUUCCUCGACUCAUGA
Molecule: ribosomal RNA, 474 nt
Filed under: Triticum aestivum (bread wheat)
Lineage: Eukaryota; Viridiplantae; Streptophyta; Magnoliopsida; Poales; Poaceae
Description: partial small subunit ribosomal RNA
Source: RNAcentral